RNAcentral lists this ribosomal RNA (253 nucleotides) under uncultured bacterium. Its description in RNAcentral is "partial 16S ribosomal RNA". It matches the Rfam family "Bacterial small subunit ribosomal RNA", at positions 524 to 776 of the family's 1533-position model. The record is from RNAcentral.
UACAGGGGGGGCAAGCGUUGUUCGGAAUUACUGGGCGUAAAGGGCUCGUAGGCGGCCAACUAAGUCCGACGUGAAAUCCCAAAGCUUAACUUUGGAACUGCGUCGGAUACUGGAUGGCUUGAAUUCGGGAGAGGGAUGCAGAACUCCAGGUGUAGCGGUGAAAUGCGCAGAUAUCAGGAAGAACACCGGUGGCGAAGGCGGCUCUCUGGGCCUUACCUGACGCUGAGGAGCGAAAGCGUGGGUAGCGAACAGG